This 445-nucleotide ribosomal RNA is filed under the name uncultured bacterium. RNAcentral's name for it is "partial 16S ribosomal RNA". It matches the Rfam family "Bacterial small subunit ribosomal RNA", at positions 354 to 796 of the family's 1533-position model. The record is from RNAcentral.
GUAAGGAAUAUUGGUCAAUGGACGCAAGUCUGAACCAGCCAUGCCGCGUGCAGGAAGACGGCCCUACGGGUUGUAAACUGCUUUUAUACAGGAAUAAACCUUCUUACGUGUAAGGAGCUGAAUGUACUGUAAGAAUAAGGAUCGGCUAACUCCGUGCCAGCAGCCGCGGUAAUACGGAGGAUCCAAGCGUUAUCCGGAUUUAUUGGGUUUAAAGGGUGCGUAGGCGGCCUUGUAAGUCAGGGGUGAAAGACGGUAGCUUAACUAUCGCAGUGCCUUUGAUACUGCAAGGCUUGAAUGUACUUGAGGUAGGCGGAAUGUGACAAGUAGCGGUGAAAUGCUUAGAUAUGUCACAGAACACCAAUUGCGAAGGCAGCUUACUAAAGUAUGAUUGACGCUGAGGCACGAAAGCGUGGGGAUCAAACAGGAUUAGAAACCCGUGUAGUCC